This is a regulatory RNA element of Firmicutes bacterium CAG:308, 238 nucleotides long. It matches the Rfam family "T-box leader". Rfam says of the family: Uncharged tRNA acts as the effector for transcription antitermination of genes in the T-box leader family. T-boxes are found upstream of many aminoacyl-tRNA synthetase genes and some amino acid biosynthetic genes usually in Gram-positive bacteria. The record is from Rfam. Lineage: Bacteria; Bacillati; Bacillota.
AAAAUGAUGAAGAAAAGAAGAGUACUUUAAGAAGUUUUUUAGAAGAGAGUCCUUGUAUGCUGAAAGAGGAUAAAAACAGCUUAUUGGAACAUGGUCUUGGAGUCGCAUGAUCGAGAGUGUAGGUCAUGACGGGGUCGCCCGUUAUAGCGAUAGAGUAUGAUGGUACUCGAUGAGGCAAAACAAGUGAUUGUUUUGUGAAAAUAGGUGGUAACACGUAAGUUCAACUUUCGUCCUAUAG